This 458-nucleotide ribosomal RNA is filed under the name Staphylococcus aureus. RNAcentral describes it as "partial 23S ribosomal RNA". It matches the Rfam family "Bacterial large subunit ribosomal RNA", at positions 1 to 451 of the family's 2925-position model. Lineage: Bacteria; Bacillati; Bacillota; Bacilli; Caryophanales; Staphylococcaceae. The record is from RNAcentral.
AGAUUAAGUUAUUAAGGGCGCACGGUGGAUGCCUUGGCACUAGAAGCCGAUGAAGGACGUUACUAACGACGAUAUGCUUUGGGGAGCUGUAAGUAAGCUUUGAUCCAGAGAUUUCCGAAUGGGGAAACCCAGCAUGAGUUAUGUCAUGUUAUCGAUAUGUGAAUACAUAGCAUAUCAGAAGGCACACCCGGAGAACUGAAACAUCUUAGUACCCGGAGGAAGAGAAAGAAAAUUCGAUUCCCUUAGUAGCGGCGAGCGAAACGGGAAGAGCCCAAACCAACAAGCUUGCUUGUUGGGGUUGUAGGACACUCUAUACGGAGUUACAAAGGACGACAUUAGACGAAUCAUCUGGAAAGAUGAAUCAAAGAAGGUAAUAAUCCUGUAGUCGAAAAUGUUGUCUCUCUUGAGUGGAUCCUGAGUACGACGGAGCACGUGAAAUUCCGUCGGAAUCUGGGAGG